GCGACUGUCGGUAGUUGGCAUAGGCGCUCAGUGGCCAUGUCGGCGUGCAGCGUGGGCGUAUGGCAGCAUGCAUGUCUAGUCCGUGUGGGCCGUCCAUGCCCGUGUAGUAACGUCGGCGGUGCCUUCGUGCGAGCGGCGAGUACUGGAUGCUGCUCUCGGGGCAAGCUCCAGGUGUUGUACACAUGGGGCCGAGCCCAAUCCGCAGCGAGCAGCGGCGGCCGACGUGGGCGGUGCCCGUGUAUGAGCCUCGGCAUACCAUCAUCUCCUCUGCUCCCCCCAAGGGCGGGCUAUUUUGUCAAGCGGGACUUACUUCAGCCUUGCAACGUCCGCAUGGGCAGCAGCGCACGGCAUCUAUUGCCGGGCGUUGGGGCUGGUGCUGGGCGUGCAUCGACGGAGCAUUUGGACGCACGGUGCGUGAGAUGUGUUUGGCACGUGCGGUUUGGUUGGAUCCCUGCUCAAGCAGCGACGUCCUGACACGCCUGCUAUCUUAGUCGCGGGGCCCGAAAGAUGGUGAACUAUGCCUGAGCGGGGCGAAUCCAAGGAAACUCUGGUGGAGGCCCGCAACGAUACUGACGUGCAAAUCGUUCGUCUGACUUGGGUAUAGGGGCGAAAGACUAAUCGAACCGUCUAGUAACUGGUUCCCUCUGAAGUUUCCCUCACUAUAGCUAGAGCUCGCGUGCGAGUUCUAUCGGGUAAAGCCAAUGAUUAGAGGCCUCGGGGGCGUAACGCACUCGACCUAUUCUCAAACUUUAAAUAGGUAUGACGGUGCGACUGCUUGGUUGAGCCGUGCCACAGAAUCAAGAGCUCCGAGUAGGCCAUUUUUGGUAAGCAGAACUGGCGAUGCGGGAUGAACCGGAAGCCGGGUUACGGUGCCAAACUGCGCGCUAACCUAGAUCCCACAAAGGGUGUUGGUCGAUUAAGACAGCAGGACGGUGGUCAUGGAAGUUGAAAUCCGCUAAGGAGUGUGUAACAACUCUCCUGCCGAAUCAACUAGCCCCAAAAAUGGAUGGCGCUUAAGUGCGCGACCUACACCCGGCCGUCAGGGCAAGUGCCAGGCCCCGAUGAGUAGGAGGGCGCAGCGGUCGCUGCGAAACCUUGGGCGCGAGCCUGGGCAGAGCGGUCGUCGGUGCAGAUCUUGGUGGUAGUAGCAAAUAUUCAAAUGAGAACUUUGAAGGCCGAAGAGGGUAAAGGUUCCAUGUGAACGGCACUUGCAAAUGGGUUAGUCGAUCCUAAUGGUCGGGGAAACCCCGACAGACAGCAUGUUUCGGGGUGUCGCGUGGUGUCCAAAGCGCUCCCGGCGGCCCUUGAAAAUUCGGAGGACCGAAUAUCGUCCACGCCCGGUCGUACUCAUAACCGCAUCAGUUCUCCAAGGUGAACAACCUCUGGUCGAUGGAACAAUGUAGGCAAGGGAAGUCGGCAAAAUGGAUCCGUAACUUUGGGAAAAGGAUUAGCUCUGAGGGCUGGGCAUGGGGGUCCCAGUCCCUAACCCGUCGGCUGUCGGUGGACUGCUCGAUCUGCUCCCGCGGUGAUAGCGGGUCGCUGUGUCCCGGCCGGGGGACGGACUGGGAAUGUUUCCUUUGGGGACGGACUGGGAAUAGUCUCAAUGGAUGUUCACACAAUGUGAUUUCUACCUAGUGCUCUGAAUGUCAAAGUGAAGAAAUUCAACCAAGCGCGGGUAAACGGCGGUAGUAACAAUGACUCUCUUAAGGUAUCCAAAUUCCUCGUCAUCUAAUUAGUGAUGCGCAUGAAUGGAUUAACCAGAUUCCCACUGUACCUGUCUACUAUCCAGCGAAACCACAACCAAGGGAACAGGCUUGGCAGAAUCAGAGGGGAAAAAAGACCGUGUUGAGCUUGACUCAAGUCCGACUUUGUGAAAUGACUUGAGAGGUGUAGUAUAAGUGGGAGCCGAAAGGCGAAAGUGAAAUACCACUACUUUUAAUGUUAUUUUACUUAUUCUGUGAAUCGGGAACGGGGCACUGCCCCUCUUUUUGGACCCAAGGCUCG
This 2004-nucleotide ribosomal RNA is filed under the name Capsicum baccatum. Its description in RNAcentral is "eukaryotic LSU rRNA". The stretch from base 429 to 2004 matches the Rfam family "Eukaryotic large subunit ribosomal RNA", at positions 1 to 2576 of the family's 3401-position model. The record is from RNAcentral. Lineage: Eukaryota; Viridiplantae; Streptophyta; Magnoliopsida; Solanales; Solanaceae.